Molecule: small RNA, 538 nt
Filed under: uncultured Faecousia sp.
Lineage: Bacteria; Bacillati; Bacillota; Clostridia; Eubacteriales; Oscillospiraceae
Description: ROOL RNA
Rfam family: ROOL RNA
About the family: Firmicutes, Fusobacteria (1 example), Tenericutes (1 example).
Source: RNAcentral
AAUCAUGCGUAUGACCAACUCAAUGAACAAAGCGCGCCAGCGCUUCGAGGCGUGGGGUAGUUUCAGCUUGAUCCAGCGAGGAUACCCGCUGGGGAGAUCUGCUUCCUGACAGUAAUGUCCGGAGGGAAGACGGAAACCGUCAACAAAAACCCGUGUCGCAGAGUUGCCCGCAUCAAAACGUACGGACCUUCUGGGCGCACCAAUAGACGAUCCUGCAGCGGUUAGCCUCUGCAGGGGAAGAACCCCGGGAAGCACCGGCCUGGCAGCCGGUGGGGAACAGGGAACGCCAUACAAUGCGCUUGGCCGUGAACCGGAGAAAUCCGGGUAUAACAGAAGUGGCCGGUAAGAGUAGCCAAAGGCUUUUCACUCGACUGAAUGGAUGGUGAAUUUGCAGGUAGUCAAUCCUGUACGGGUUUAGGGAAACCCAGGGCAAGUAGUUUGCAGCCGACGGGCUGCAGGCUCAGGCUUAUCUUCCCGUUGACGGAAUAUUGGUGAAGGGUAAUGCAUGUAUGGCGAAGGUCUGGUCAUAUGUGUGGUU